AACGAGGCUGCUUGCAGUCGAAGUGAGUGAUACCCUGCUUCCAGGAAAAGCCACUAAGCUUCAGCUACACACGACCGUACCGCAAACCGACACUGGUGCGCGAGAUGAGUAUUCUAAGGCGCUUGAGAGAACUCAGGAGAAGGAACUCGGCAAAUUGACACCGUAACUUCGGAAGAAGGUGUGCCUUUAGUAGGUGAACCUGUACAAGGGGAGCCCAAUGAGGUUGCAAAAAAUCGGUGGCUGCGACUGUUUAAUAAAAACACAGCACUCUGCAAACACGAAAGUGGACGUAUAGGGUGUGACGCCUGCCCGGUGCUGGAAGAUUAAAUGAUGGGGUGCAAGCUCUUGAUUGAAGUCCCAGUAAACGGCGGCCGUAACUAUAACGGUCCUAAGGUAGCGAAAUUCCUUGUCGGGUAAGUUCCGACCUGCACGAAUGGCGUAACGAUGGCCACACUGUCUCCUCCUGAGACUCAGCGAGUUGAAAUGUUUGUGAUGAUGCAAUCUCCCCGCGGAAAGACGGAAAGACCCCAUGAACCUUUACUGUAGCUUUGUAUUGGACUUUGAACAGAUCUGUGUAGGAUAGGUGGGAGGCUUUGAAGUGUGGUCGCUAGAUCGCAUGGAGCCAACGUUGAAAUACCACCCUGGUGUGUUUGAGGUUCUAACCUAGGCCCGUAAUCCGGGUCGGGGACAGUGCAUGGUAGGCAGUUUGACUGGGGCGGUCUCCUCCCAAAGCGUAACGGAGGAGUUCGAAGGUACGCUAGGUACGGUCGGACAUCGUGCUAAUAGUGCAAUGGCAUAAGCGUGCUUAACUGCGAGACUGACAAGUCGAGCAGAUGCGAAAGCAGGACAUAGUGAUCCGGUGGUUCUGUAUGGAAGGGCCAUCGCUCAACGGAUAAAAGGUACUCUGGGGAUAACAGGCUGAUACCGCCCAAGAGUUCAUAUCGACGGCGGUGUUUGGCACCUCGAUGUCGGCUCAUCUCAUCCUGGGGCUGUAGCCGGUCCCAAGGGUAUGGCUGUUCGCCAUUUAAAGAGGUACGUGAGCUGGGUUUAAAACGUCGUGAGACAGUUUGGUCCCUAUCUUCCGUGGGCGCUGCAGAUUUGAGGAAGCCUGCUCCUAGUACGAGAGGACCGGAGUGGACACACCUCUGGUGUAUCGGUUGUCACGCCAGUGGCAUUGCCGAGUAGCUAUGUGUGGAAGAGAUAACCGCUGAAAGCAUCUAAGCGGGAAACUCGUUUCAAGAUGAGAUCUGCCGGGGCCUUGAGCCCCCUAAAGAGUCGUUCAAGACCAGGACGUUGAUAGGUCGGGUGUGGAAGCGCAGUAAUGCGUUAAGCUAACCGAUACUAAUUGCUCGUGCGGCUUGAUCA
RNAcentral lists this ribosomal RNA (1365 nucleotides) under metagenome. RNAcentral's name for it is "bacterial LSU rRNA". It matches the Rfam family "Bacterial large subunit ribosomal RNA", at positions 1568 to 2925 of the family's 2925-position model. The record is from RNAcentral.